UCCUCAGUAGCUCAGUCGGUAGAGCAGUUGACUGUUAAUCAAUUGGUCGCAAGUUCGAGUCUUGCCUGAGGAGCCA
RNAcentral lists this transfer RNA (76 nucleotides) under Thiothrix sp. Its description in RNAcentral is "tRNA-Asn". It matches the Rfam family "tRNA". Rfam says of the family: Transfer RNA (tRNA) molecules are approximately 80 nucleotides in length. Their secondary structure includes four short double-helical elements and three loops (D, anti-codon, and T loops). Lineage: Bacteria; Pseudomonadati; Pseudomonadota; Gammaproteobacteria; Thiotrichales; Thiotrichaceae. The record is from RNAcentral. RNAcentral also lists the same sequence under 3 other names.